Molecule: ribosomal RNA, 514 nt
Filed under: uncultured Sphingomonas sp.
Lineage: Bacteria; Pseudomonadati; Pseudomonadota; Alphaproteobacteria; Sphingomonadales; Sphingomonadaceae
Description: bacterial SSU rRNA
Rfam family: Bacterial small subunit ribosomal RNA
Source: RNAcentral
ACGAACGCUGGCGGCAUGCCCAAUAGAGUUAAAGUCGAACGAGAUCUUCGCAUCUAGUGGCGCACGGGUGCGUAACGCGUGGGAAUCUGCCCUUGGGUUCGUAAUAACUUCUGGAAACGGAAGCUAAUACCGGAUGAUAGACGUAAGUCCAAAGAUUUAUCGCCCAAGGAUGAGCCCGCGUAGGAUUAGGUAGUUGGUGAGGUAAAGGCUCACCAAGCCGACGAUCCUUAGCUGGUCUGAGAGGAUGAUCAGCCACACUGGGACUGAGACACGGACCAGACUCCUACGGGAGGCAGCCAGUAGGGAACAUUGGACAAUGGGCGAAAGCCUGAUCCAGCAAUGCCGCGUGAGUGAUGAAGGCCUUAGAGGUUGUAAAGCUCUUUUACCCGGGAUGAUAAUGACAGUACCGGGAGAAUAAGCUCCGGACUAACUCCGUGCACAGACACGCCGCGGUAAUACGGAAGGGAGCUAGACAGUUGUUCGGAAUUUACUUGGGCCGUAAAGCAGCACAGUA